UUCGCAAUGCCCGAAAGGGUGACGAAGCGACGCCGCGUGGGUGAGGAAGGCCUUCGGGUUGUAAAGCCCUGUCAGGAGUUAAGAAAUGUAAGUGCGCUAAUAUCGCAUUUACUUGACGAAGGCUCCAAAGGAAGUCACGGCUAACUCUGUGCCAGCAGCCGCGGUAAUACAGAGGUGGCAAGCGUUGUUCGGAAUUAUUGGGCGUAAAGAGCACGUAGGUGGGUUUGUAAGUCAGAUGUGAAAGCCUUCUGUUCAACGGAAGAAUUGCAUCUGAAACUGCGAGUCUUGAGUGUAGGAGGGGAGAAUGGAACUUCUGGUGGAGCGGUGAAAUGCGUAGAUAUCAGAAGGAACGCCGGCGGCGAAAGCGAUUCUCUGGCCUAUUACUGACACUCAGUGUGCGAAAGCUAGGGGAGCAAACGGGAUUAGAUACCCCGGUAGUCCUAGCCGUAAACGAUGGGCACUAAGUAGAGGGGUUUUA
This 478-nucleotide ribosomal RNA is filed under the name uncultured bacterium. Its description in RNAcentral is "bacterial SSU rRNA". It matches the Rfam family "Bacterial small subunit ribosomal RNA", at positions 365 to 833 of the family's 1533-position model. The record is from RNAcentral.